RNAcentral lists this ribosomal RNA (254 nucleotides) under uncultured microorganism. RNAcentral describes it as "partial 16S ribosomal RNA". It matches the Rfam family "Archaeal small subunit ribosomal RNA", at positions 474 to 727 of the family's 1478-position model. The record is from RNAcentral.
CACCGGCGGCUCGAGUGGUGGCCACUUUUAUUGGGUCUAAAGCGUCCGUAGCCGGCUUGGCAAGUCCCCUGGGAAAUCUGGCGGCUUAACCGUCAGGCGUCCAGAGGAUACUGCCAGGCUUGGGACCGGGAGAGGUAAGAGGUACUACGGGGGUAGGGGUGAAAUCUUGUGAUCCCUGAGGGACCACCAGUGGCGAAGGCGUCUCACUAGAACGGGUCCGACGGUCAGGGACGAAAGCUGGGGGCACGAACCGG